CAGAGAGAGAGGGGGUGAGAUACAGAGAGAGAGGGGGUGAGACAGACAGAGAGCGAGAGGGGUGAGAGACAGAGAGAGAGAGAGGGGUGAGAGACAGAGAUAGAGAGGGGGGUGAGAGACAGAGAUAGAGAGGGGUGAGAUACAGAGAGAGAGAGGGGUGAGACAGACAGAGAUAGAGAGGGGUGAGAUACAGAGAGAGAGAGGGGGGUGAGAGACAGAGAUAGAGAGGGGUGAGAUACAGAAAGAGAGAGGGGUGAGAGACAGAGAUAGAGAGGGGUGAGAUACAGAGAGAGAGAGGGGGGUGAGAGAUAGAGAGGGGUGAGAUACAGAGAGAGAGAGGGGUGAGACAGAC
Oncorhynchus tshawytscha (Chinook salmon) is the source of this 352-nucleotide long non-coding RNA. The record is from Ensembl. NCBI's taxonomy places the organism in Eukaryota, Metazoa, Chordata, Actinopteri, Salmoniformes, Salmonidae.